Molecule: ribosomal RNA, 460 nt
Filed under: uncultured bacterium
Lineage: Bacteria
Description: partial 16S ribosomal RNA
Rfam family: Bacterial small subunit ribosomal RNA
Source: RNAcentral
CCUACGGGUGGCAGCAGUGAGGAAUAUUGGUCAAUGGACGCAAGUCUGAACCAGCCAUGCCGCGUGCAGGAAGACGACUCUAUGAGUUGUAAACUGCUUUUGUACGAGGGUAAACGCAGAUACGCGUACCUGUCUGAAAGUAUCGUACGAAUAAGGAUCGGCUAGCUCCGUCCCAGCAGCCGCGGUAAUACGGAGGAUUAAAGCGUUAUCCGGAUUUAUUGGGUGUAAAGGGCGCGUAGGCGGUCGGAUAAGUUGGAGGUGAAAUCCCGGGGCUCAACUUCGGAAGUGCGUCUGAUACUGGUCGGCUAGAGAGUAGGUGGGGUAUGCGGAAUGUAUGGUGUAGCUGUGAAAUGCUUAGAGAUCAUACAGAACACCGAUUGCGAAGGCAGCUUACCAGGCUACUACUGACGUUGAGGCACGAAAGCGUGGGGAGCAAACAGGAUUAGAUACCCCUGUAGUC